UACGGGAGGCAGCAGUGGGGAAUAUUGCACAAUGGGCGCAAGCCUGAUGCAGCCAUGCCGCGUGUAUGAAGAAGGCCUUCGGGUUGUAAAGUACUUUCAGUCGUGAGGAAGGUGUUAAGGUUAAUAACCUUAGCAAUUGACGUUAGCGACAGAAGAAGCACCGGCUAACUCCGUGCCAGCAGCCGCGGUAAUACGGAGGGUGCGAGCGUUAAUCGGAAUUACUGGGCGUAAAGGGCACGCAGGCGGUUAAUUAAGUUGGAUGUGAAAUCCCCGGGCUUAACCUGGGAAUGGCAUUCAAGACUGGUUAGCUAGAGUCUUGUAGAGGGGGUAGAAUUCCAUGUGUAGCGGUGAAAUGCGUAGAGAUGUGGAGGAAUACCGGUGGCGAAGGCGGCCCCUGGCAAAGGACUGACGCUCGAUGUGCGAAAGCGUGGGGAGCAAACAGGGAUUAGAUACC
This 454-nucleotide ribosomal RNA is filed under the name uncultured bacterium. RNAcentral describes it as "bacterial SSU rRNA". It matches the Rfam family "Bacterial small subunit ribosomal RNA", at positions 340 to 786 of the family's 1533-position model. The record is from RNAcentral.